AACACAUGCAGUCGAACGAUGAAGCCGCUUCGGUGGUGGAUUAGUGGCGAACGGGUGAGUAACACGUGGGCAAUCUGCCCUGACUCUGGGACAAGCCCUGGAAACGGGGUCUAAUACCGGAUAUUGACACGAGGGGGCAUCUUCUCGUGUGGAAAGCUCCGGCGGUGCAGGAUGAGCCCGCGGCCUAUCAGCUUGUUGGUGGGGUGAUGGCCUACCAAGGCGACGACGGGUAGCCGGCCUGAGAGGGCGACCGGCCACACUGGGACUGAGACACGGCCCAGACUCCUACGGGAGGCAGCAGUGGGGAAUAUUGCACAAUGGGCGCAAGCCUGAUGCAGCGCGCCGCGUGAGGGAUGACGGCCUUCGGGUUGUAAACCUCUUUCAGCAGGGAAGAAGCGCAAGUGACGGUACCUGCAGAAGAAGCACCGGCUAACUACGUGCCAGC
RNAcentral lists this ribosomal RNA (445 nucleotides) under Streptomyces sp. 1912BAB. RNAcentral's name for it is "bacterial SSU rRNA". It matches the Rfam family "Bacterial small subunit ribosomal RNA", at positions 50 to 512 of the family's 1533-position model. Lineage: Bacteria; Bacillati; Actinomycetota; Actinomycetes; Kitasatosporales; Streptomycetaceae. The record is from RNAcentral.